AAACCCAGUUUCUUCAGGAACUUGCUUGUAAUGGCCUGAAUCAUGUGGACCACCUUUUCCCCAGUCUUUGUUCCCCAUGGCUUCGGCUGCUGCUUCAAGUGAAGCUCUCAUAUACUGUAAGUUCAACAUUUAAUUACAUCAUUAUUCUUAAUUU
Long non-coding RNA from Hibiscus syriacus, 154 nucleotides. RefSeq lists it as uncharacterized. The transcript has 3 exons. The record is from RefSeq and is a predicted model, not a curated record. NCBI's taxonomy places the organism in Eukaryota, Viridiplantae, Streptophyta, Magnoliopsida, Malvales, Malvaceae.